This 496-nucleotide ribosomal RNA is filed under the name uncultured bacterium. RNAcentral's name for it is "partial 16S ribosomal RNA". It matches the Rfam family "Bacterial small subunit ribosomal RNA", at positions 28 to 506 of the family's 1533-position model. The record is from RNAcentral.
GAUGAACGCUGGCGGCGUGCCUAAUACAUGCAAGUCGAGCGAACAGACGAGGAGCUUGCUCCUCUGACGUUAGCGGCGGACGGGUGAGUAACACGUGGAUAACCUACCUAUAAGACUGGGAUAACUUCGGGAAACCGGAGCUAAUACCGGAUAACAUGUUGAACCGCAUGGUUUAACAGUGAAAGACGGUCUUGCUGUCACUUAUAGAUGGAUCCGCGCCGCAUUAGCUAGUUGGUAAGGUAACGGCUUACCAAGGCAACGAUGCGUAGCCGACCUGAGAGGGUGAUCGUCCACACUGGAACUGAGACACGGUCCAGACUCCUACGGGAGGCAGCAGUAGGGAAUCUUCCGCAAUGGGCGAAAGCCUGACGGAGCAACGCCGCGUGAGUGAAGAAGGUCUUCGGAUCGUAAAACUCUGUUAUUAGGGAAGAACAAAUGUGUAAGUAACUAUGCACGUCUUGACGGUACCUAAUCAGAAAGCCACGGCUAACUACGU